UUUUUUUUUUUUUUUGAGAUGGGGUUUUGCUAUAUUGCCCAGUCUGGUCUCAAACUCCUGGGGUCAAGUGAUCUGUCCACCUUGGCCUCCCAAAUUGCUAGGAUUGCAGGCAUGAGCCACCGUGUGCAGCCUGCCUCUGUCCUUCCGAAAAAAAGGAAACAUCAAAGGCAUCUGGAAAAAUUAAACAUAUUUAAAGAAAAGGCUAUAAAUACUUCCAUAUGCAUGUUGAUUCAUGUAUUAGUUUCCUAGCACUGCUGUAACAACCAUAACCAAGUGGCAUUGGUGGUAUAGUAGCGAGCAUAGUUGCCUUCCAAAUAAUCAUAACUUUGGUGGUUUUUUUUUUUUUUUUUGAAACACUUUCGUUCUUGUAGCCCAGGCUGGUGUGCAGUGGCGUGAUCUUGGCUCACUGCAACCUCCUUCUCCCAGGUUCAAGUGAUUCUCCUGCCUCAACCUCUCGAGUAGCUGGGAUCACAGGUGCCUGCCACCACACUCGGCUAAUUUUUGUAUUUUUAGUAGAGACGGGGUUUCACCAUGUUAGCCAGGCUGGUCUCGAAAGACUGACUUCAGGUGAUCCACCCUGUUGGGGUGAUCAGACCCUAACACCAGGCUGUGUGGGCAAUGAAGUCCGGUGGAAUCAAAGGAAUGAGACAAGACAAGUUAAGAGUGAAAGUGGGAGUGGGGACCAACGCUAGUAUGGAGGCUGUGAAGGCCCCGAGCUCUGGGAGCCCACGCUAUUUAUUGGUGAUCAAAGAAGCAGGUGGUGAGGGUGUGGGGGUUGAAAGAAAACAGUGCAUCAGGCACAUGAUCUACAGCUGUGACGGUUUAGCAUUUUCUUUGCAGCAUAUGGAACAUGUUCUGCUACUUGAGAUAAUGGGAGCCUGUAAGCAAGGAGCCAGCAAGUCUAGACACAUUCCAGAGGCCACGAAGGGUUUUAUGCCCUGGGCUUAGAUUGUGGUGUGGCAGGGCAGCCUUCCACCCUUUAGCACAGAGCUUGGUGUUCCAAAGGCAACGAGGGAUUUUAGACCCUGGACCCCGGACAUGUUCCAAGACUCUUUUACAUUAUGUCAGACAUGCAAACCCUGCCUCAGCUUUUUUCCCAACACUCAGCUUUUACCCAACAUAUCCGCCUCAGCCUCAGUCUCCCAAAAGAGCUGGGAUGACAGGCGGGACCCACCGCGCCCAGUCCCACUUCAGUGGUUUAAAAGAGCAGAUAUUUUCUGUCUCACAGUUCUGGAGGCAGGAAGUCUACAAUCAAGGUAUCAGCAGGGAUAUACCUUAGGGGAGGAACCUUCCCUGCCUCUCCCAGCUUCCGGUGGCUCCAAGUGUCCCUUGGCUUGUGGCUGCAUCACUCCCAUCUCUGUCUCCAUCUUUACAUGGGCUUCUGCUCGGUGUGUCUCUCCUCCAUGUGUCUCUUAUAAAAAUACUUGUCAUUGGAUAUAGGGCCCACCUGUAUAAUCCAGGGUGCGCUCAUCUCAAGAUCCUUAACUUAAUUAGACAAGUCUGGGAGGCAUGGUGGCUCACGCC
RNAcentral lists this long non-coding RNA (1524 nucleotides) under Macaca fascicularis (crab-eating macaque). Its description in RNAcentral is "lncRNA (ENSMFAG00000049897.1)". The record is from RNAcentral. Lineage: Eukaryota; Metazoa; Chordata; Mammalia; Primates; Cercopithecidae.